RNAcentral lists this unclassified non-coding RNA (224 nucleotides) under Hevea brasiliensis (rubber tree). The record is from RNAcentral. Lineage: Eukaryota; Viridiplantae; Streptophyta; Magnoliopsida; Malpighiales; Euphorbiaceae.
UUGAGCUUCCGAUGCUGAGCCACCUAGCGAGGAGAGCAGACCCGACAUCAACUGGGAUGUUGGAUGACACAGACACCUACCACCAUCAGCUUUUCAAUCCCCACCAGUUACCAUCCUCGGCUAAACAGGCCACCGCUACUCAGAUCUAGCCAUGGCAAACCCCCAACCAAAUCCUUCAUUCAAAACCUCUGCAUGCUUGCCCUAAGAUCUGGCAAACAAGACAA